GCCCCCGUUGUGUAGCGGCCUAGCCCGCCGCCCUCUCAAGGCGGUAGCGCUGCUCCGACUCUGGUCGGGCGUA
RNAcentral lists this transfer RNA (73 nucleotides) under Streptomyces noursei ZPM. RNAcentral describes it as "Streptomyces albulus ZPM tRNA-Glu". Lineage: Bacteria; Bacillati; Actinomycetota; Actinomycetes; Kitasatosporales; Streptomycetaceae. The record is from RNAcentral.